GCACACUUCUGGUCUGGUGGCGAGUGGCGAACGGGUGAGUAAUGAAUGGAACGCCUAGUAGCGGGGGAUAACUACGCGAAAGCGUAGCUAGUACCGCAUACGCCCUCGGGGGAAAGCGGGGACCUUCGGGCCCGCACUAGUUAGGAGCGUGUCGAUAAUGGAUUAGCUAGUUGGUGGGGUAACGGCUCAACAGGCGACGAUCCGUAGCUGGUUUGAGGAGGACGACCAGCCACACUGGACUGAGACACUACCCAGACUCUGGAGGCAGUGGGAAUUUCGGACAAUGGGGAAACCCUGAUCCAGCCAUCUCCGCGUGUGCGAUGAAGGCCUUCGGGUUGUAAAGCACUUUUUGGCAGGAAAGAAACGGCACGGGAUAAUACCCCGUGCAACUGACGGUACCUGCAGAAUAAGCACCGCUAACUACGUGCCACAGCAGCCGCGUAAAUACGUAGAAAAAAUGUUAAUCGAAUUGAUUGGGCGUAAAGCGUGCGCAGGCGGUUCGGAAAGAAAGAUGGAAUCCUGAGUUUCAACUUUAGAACCGCAUUUUUGGGACCAACAGAGCUAGAGUGUGUCAGAGAGGUGGAAUUUGCGUAGUGAAAUGCGUAGAUAUGCGGAGGAACACCGAUGGCGAAGGCAGCCUCCGGGAUAACACUGACGCUCAUGCACGAAAGCGUGGGGAGCAAACAGGAUUAGAUACCCUGGUAGUCCACGCCCUAAAACGAUGAUGUCAACUAGCUGUUGGGGCCUUCGGGCCUGGUAGCGCAGCUAACGCGUGAAGGACUGCCCGGGAGUACGGUCGCAAGAUUAAACUCAAAGGAAUUGACGGGGACCCGCACAAACGGUGGAUGAUGUGGAUUAAUUCGAUGCAACGCGAAAACCUUACCUAAAUUCUUGACAUGUUCAACCUUGAGAGAUUUGGGAGUGCUCGCAAGAGAACCGAACACAGGUGCUGCAUGGCUGUUUGUCAGCUCGUGAAAUGUGAGAUGUUAGGUUAAGUCCCGCAACGAGCAACCCUUGUCAUUAGUUGCUACGAAAGGGUACUCUCAUCGAGACUGCCGGUGACAAACCGAGGCAGGGGGAUGAAUGUCAAGUCCUCAUGGCCCUUAUGGGUAGGGCUUCUACGACGUCAUACAAUGGUCGGGACAGAGGGUCGCCACCCGCGAGGGGAGCCAACUUGUGAAACCUCGAUCGUAGUCCGGAUCGCAGUCUGCAACCUCGACUGCGUGAAGUCGGAAUCGCUAGUAACGCAGGGAUCAGCAUGUCGCGGUGAAUACGUUCCUGGUCUGCAGGAAGACACCUGCCCGUCACACUAUGGGAGUGGGUUUUUACCAGAAGUAGUUAGCCUAACUGUAAGGAGGGGGCAUUGUCAUGGGAUUCAUGACUGGGGUGAAGUCGUAACAAGGUAGC
Molecule: ribosomal RNA, 1407 nt
Filed under: uncultured Bordetella sp.
Lineage: Bacteria; Pseudomonadati; Pseudomonadota; Betaproteobacteria; Burkholderiales; Alcaligenaceae
Description: partial 16S-23S ribosomal RNA intergenic spacer
Rfam family: Bacterial small subunit ribosomal RNA
Source: RNAcentral